GCGGGCAAAUCCGCGCCCAAAAAUAACCGCCCGAAGGCCGGGGCUCCAAGUUUGUCCAGUGGAAAAAGGCCACAAAAACGGGUGGGCUAUAGCCUUGGGGGGUGGGGCUGGCCAACUUCGUCCGCCGGACUCGGAAUGGCGCGAGACUUUGCGAGGCGCCUCCGUGUGCCAAAAGUAGGCCGCGGGCAAAGCCGCGCCCAAAAAUAACCGCCCGAAGGCCGGGGCGCCAAGUUCGUCCAGCGGAAAAAGGCCACAAAAACGGGUGGGCUAUAGCCUUGGGGGGUGGGGCUGGCCAACUUCGUCCGCCGGACUCGGAAUGGGGCGAGACAUUGCAAGGCACCUCCGUGAGCCAAAAAUAGGCCGCGGACACAGCCGCGCCCAAAAAUAACUGCCCGAAGGCCGGGGCGCCAAGUUUGUCCAGCGGAAAAAGGCCACAAAAACGGGUGGGCUAUAGCGUUGGGGGGUGGGGCUGGCCUACUUCGUCCGCCGGACUCGGAAUGGCGCGAGACUUUACGAGGUGCCUCCGUUUGCCAAAAGUAGGCCGCGGCCAAAGCCGCGCCCAAAAAUAACCGCCCGAAGG
RNAcentral lists this long non-coding RNA (580 nucleotides) under Citrus x clementina. RNAcentral's name for it is "Citrus clementina (C. clementina) long non-coding RNA (CCLE_LNC000047)". Lineage: Eukaryota; Viridiplantae; Streptophyta; Magnoliopsida; Sapindales; Rutaceae. The record is from RNAcentral.